AACGCAUCUUGCGCCCUUUGGUAUUCCAAAGGGCAUGCCUGUUUGAGUGUCAUGAAAAUCUCAUCCCUUCGGUUUUCCGAUGACGAUGGACUUGGGUGUUGCCGUCUUGGCUCACCUCAAAGGAGUUAGCGGUUCUUGGGAUCGAUCUGGCGUAAUAAGUUUCGCUGGCCCGGUCUGGAGGGCUGCUCAUAACCUUCCGACACUUUUGCUCUGACCUCAAAUCAGGUAGGACUACCCGCUGAACUUAA
Molecule: unclassified non-coding RNA, 248 nt
Filed under: Apiosordaria sp.
Lineage: Eukaryota; Fungi; Ascomycota; Sordariomycetes; Sordariales; Lasiosphaeriaceae
Description: partial contains 5.8S ribosomal RNA, internal transcribed spacer 2, and large subunit ribosomal RNA
Rfam family: 5.8S ribosomal RNA (bases 1-52)
Source: RNAcentral